Molecule: ribosomal RNA, 266 nt
Filed under: uncultured bacterium
Lineage: Bacteria
Description: partial 16S ribosomal RNA
Rfam family: Bacterial small subunit ribosomal RNA
Source: RNAcentral
GUCCACGCCGUAAACGAUGGGUGCUAGGUGUCGCGGGCUUUGACCCCUGCGGUGCCGUAGCUAACGCAUUAAGCACCCCGCCUGGGGAGUACGGCCGCAAGGCUAAAACUCAAAGGAAUUGACGGGGGCCCGCACAAGCGGUGGAGCAUGUGGUUCAAUUCGACGCAACGCGCAGAACCUUACCUGGGCUAGAAAAUGCAAGAACCUGGUUGAAAGAUCGGGGUGCUCUUCGGAGAGCUUGUAGUUAGGUGCUGCAUGGCUGUCGU